RNAcentral lists this ribosomal RNA (315 nucleotides) under uncultured bacterium. RNAcentral's name for it is "bacterial SSU rRNA". It matches the Rfam family "Bacterial small subunit ribosomal RNA", at positions 481 to 793 of the family's 1533-position model. The record is from RNAcentral.
GCAGAAGAAGCACCGGCUAACUCCGUGCCAGCAGCCGCGGUAAUACGGAGGGUGCGAGCGUUUAAUCGGAAUUACUGGGCGUAAAGCGCAUGCAGGUGGUUUGUUAAGUCAGAUGUGAAAGCCCGGGGCUCAACCUCGGAAUUGCAUUUUGAAACUGGCAGACUAGAGUACUGUAGAGGGGGUAGGAAUUUCAGGUGUAGCGGUGAAAUGCGUAGAGAUCUGAAGGAAUACCGGUGGCGAAGGCGGCCCCCUCGGACAGAUACUGACACUCAGAUGCGAAAGCGUGGGGAGCAACAGGAUUAGAUACCCUGGUAG